UACGGAGGGUGCGAGCGUUAAUCGGAAUUACUGGGCGUAAUGCGCACGUAGGUGGGGACGUAAGUCGGGUGUGAAAGCCCCGGGCUCAACCUGGGAAUUGCAUUCGAGACUGCAUUGCUGGAGUACGGAAGAGGAGGGCGGAAUUCCCGGUGUAGCGGUGAAAUGCGUAGAUAUCGGGAGGAACAUCAGUGGCGAAGGCGGCCCUCUGGUCCAGUACUGACACUCAAGUGCGAAAGCGUGGGGAGCAAACAGG
RNAcentral lists this ribosomal RNA (253 nucleotides) under uncultured bacterium. RNAcentral describes it as "partial 16S ribosomal RNA". It matches the Rfam family "Bacterial small subunit ribosomal RNA", at positions 524 to 776 of the family's 1533-position model. The record is from RNAcentral.